This is a transfer RNA of Ovis aries (sheep), 73 nucleotides long. It matches the Rfam family "tRNA". Rfam says of the family: Transfer RNA (tRNA) molecules are approximately 80 nucleotides in length. Lineage: Eukaryota; Metazoa; Chordata; Mammalia; Artiodactyla; Bovidae. The record is from Rfam.
UCUCUGGUGGUCCAGUGGUUAGGACUCUACACUUUCACUGCUGAGGGCCUGAGUUAAACCCCUGGUCAGGGAA